This 460-nucleotide long non-coding RNA is filed under the name Selaginella moellendorffii. RNAcentral's name for it is "long non-coding RNA (SMOE_LNC001995)". The record is from RNAcentral. Lineage: Eukaryota; Viridiplantae; Streptophyta; Lycopodiopsida; Selaginellales; Selaginellaceae.
GCCCAUGCAAGCCCGAGCAGACUCGCGUAAGUAUUUGGAUUUCGGAUCAGCUUCUUCCACAUCAUUCUCACGAUGAGUUUUGUCAUGACUGUAGGUGGUGGCAUUUGAGUCGGAGCUGACGAGUCGCUGUCAACCAGUUUCGGUGGCGUGAAGGGAACCUUGCAAGGCAAAUGUGAUUCGCUCUUCAGAUUCUUCUCUGACAGCGGGGUGGUGUCUUCUCUUUGGAACAGAACGUUAUCAACGAAGCUGAAGUCUUUGGCCAUGCAUGGAUGUAAUGGUGUGGAGUUCGACGGUACUACACUCGUAAGUAAGGAUGUAAGUUUUCCUUGAAACAGAAAUAGAAACGUACUUACUUUGAAUUGACAGGUUCUUGUGGCUUGUCAAUUUCCUGGUCUCGUAACAGCCUCUAUCAGACGCAGGAGAGUUGCUCGAGCUCCACACCAGCAUUUGCAUCUCUCGA